ACGGAAGGCAGCAGUGGGGAAUAUUGGACAAUGGGGGAAACCCUGAUCCAGCGACGCCGCGUGAGUGAAGAAGUAUUUCGGUAUGUAAAGCUCUAUCAGCAAGGAAGAAAAUGACGGUACUUGACUAAGAAGCUCCGGCUAAAUACGUGCCAGCAGCCGCGGUAAUACGUUUGGAGCAAGCGUUAUCCGGAUUUACUGGGUGUAAAGGGAGCGUAGACGGCAAAGCAAGUCUGAAGUGAAAUCCCGGGGCUCAACCCCGGAACUGCUUUGGAAACUGUUUAGCUAGAGUGCAGGAGAGGUAAGCGGAAUUCCUAGUGUAGCGGUGAAAUGCGUAGAUAUUAGGAGGAACACCAGUGGCGAAGGCGGCUUACUGGACUGUAACUGACGUUGAGGCUCGAAAGCGUGGGGAGCAAACAGGAUUAGAUACCCUGGUA
This 434-nucleotide ribosomal RNA is filed under the name uncultured Lachnospiraceae bacterium. RNAcentral describes it as "partial 16S ribosomal RNA". It matches the Rfam family "Bacterial small subunit ribosomal RNA", at positions 341 to 792 of the family's 1533-position model. The record is from RNAcentral. Lineage: Bacteria; Bacillati; Bacillota; Clostridia; Lachnospirales; Lachnospiraceae.